GCGCUCGCUUCGGUGGCACAUAUACUAAACUGGAAAUGACACAGAGAAGAUUAGCAUGGCCGCUGUGCAUGGAUGACAUGCAAACUCGUGAAGUGUCCCAUAUUUUU
Small nuclear RNA from Phyllostomus hastatus (greater spear-nosed bat), 107 nucleotides. The record is from RefSeq and is a predicted model, not a curated record. Lineage: Eukaryota; Metazoa; Chordata; Mammalia; Chiroptera; Phyllostomidae.